AUGCUUACCUGGCAGGGGAGAUACCAUAUUCAUGAAGGUGGUUUUCCCCAGGUGAGGCUUAUCCACUGCACUCUGGAUGUGCUGACUCCUGCUAUUUCCCCAAAUGUGGAAACUUGACUGUGUGAUUUGCGGUAUUCAGGUACUCUGUUAGAGCUCUCCCCUG
Phyllostomus hastatus (greater spear-nosed bat) is the source of this 163-nucleotide small nuclear RNA. RefSeq annotates it as U1 spliceosomal RNA. The transcript has a single exon. NCBI's taxonomy places the organism in Eukaryota, Metazoa, Chordata, Mammalia, Chiroptera, Phyllostomidae. The record is from RefSeq and is a predicted model, not a curated record.